GAUGAACGCUGACAGAAUGCUUAACACAUGCAAGUCAACUUGAACUUCGGUUUGGGUGGCGGACGGGUGAGUAACGCGUAAAGAACUUACCUCACAGAUAGGGACAACAUUUGGAAACGAAUGCUAAUACCUGAUAUUAUGAUUUUAGGGCAUCCUAGGAUUAUGAAAGCUAUAUGCGCUGUGAGAGAGCUUUGCGUCCCAUUAGCUAGUUGGAGAGGUAACGGCUCACCAAGGCGAUGAUGGGUAGCCGGCCUGGGAGGGUGAUCGGCCACAAGGGGACUGAGACACGGCCCUUACUCCUACGGGAGGCAGCAGUGGGGAAUAUUGGACAAUGGACCAAGAGUCUGAUCCAGCAAUUCUGUGUGCACGAUGAAGUUUUUCGGAAUGUAAAGUGCUUUCAGUUGGGAAGAAAAAAAUGACGGUACCAACAGAAGAAGUGACGGCUAAAUACGUGCCAGCAGCCGCGGUAAUACGUAUGUCACAAGCGUUAUCCGGAUUUAUUGGGCGUAAAGCGCGUCUAGGUGGUUAUGUAAGUCUGAUGUGAAAAUGCAGGGCUCAACUCUGUAUUGCGUUGGAAACUGUGUAACUAGAGUACUGGAGAGGUAAGCGGAACUACAAGUGUAGAGGUGAAAUUCGUAGAUAUUUGUAGGAAUGCCGAUGGGGAAGCCAGCUUACUGGACAGAUACUGACGCUGAAGCGCGAAAGCGUGGGUAGCAAACAGG
This 722-nucleotide ribosomal RNA is filed under the name uncultured Fusobacterium sp. RNAcentral describes it as "bacterial SSU rRNA". It matches the Rfam family "Bacterial small subunit ribosomal RNA", at positions 28 to 776 of the family's 1533-position model. The record is from RNAcentral. Lineage: Bacteria; Fusobacteriati; Fusobacteriota; Fusobacteriia; Fusobacteriales; Fusobacteriaceae.